RNAcentral lists this long non-coding RNA (1185 nucleotides) under Pogona vitticeps (central bearded dragon). RNAcentral's name for it is "lncRNA (ENSPVIG00000009618.1)". The record is from RNAcentral. Lineage: Eukaryota; Metazoa; Chordata; Lepidosauria; Squamata; Agamidae.
AUAAUAAUAAUAAUAAUAAUAAUAAUAAUAAUAAAAAUAAAAAUAAAAAUAAAAAUAAAAAUAAAAAUAACUACUACAACAAUAACCAUUUAUCACUAUAUUUAUUUACUACCCUUUCAUGCAGUACUCUUAUUAAGGCACACAAAUAUUCUAAUUUAAAGAAACAACACUUAAUUCAAAUUAGAAAUUACAGACAUCUAAAACCACCUUUACAAGUGGCUAAGAAAAGAGAAAAGGGGAGGGGGGUUACUAAUAAAAAGCAGGUGAAACAGACAAGCCCCGAAAGUCCAUUGAAUAUCAGUCGUCCUCUUGAGGGUUCGGACACCAGUCAGGAAAAAAAGGCUCUCCUCCUUAUUUCCUGCGAGAGCUAGGUGCCCUUCCUCUUCUUCCUCCUCCUCCUCGGUUCAUCUCGGAUCUGCCCCUCCCCAAGCUGGAGACGUUUAGGAGCCGGGCUUUUCAUUCCCCCAGCCGGCAAGCCAGGGGUGGGGUGGGGUGGGGUGAAAUAGGGACCUCCGGCGUGAGGCUGCCAGCAGAGGGAGCCGAGAAGUGGCAGGGCAGGUGAGUAGAGGAAUUGUCUAGCACGCUUGGACUCAGAGGGACUUUCAUGCGGAUGUUCUAGGAUGUUCUAGCCUUUACAAAUCAGAGGGCAGGUCUUCUGGGACCGCCUUUUCCUGGAAGUCGCCAUGCAGCUGUUCUAGCCUUCUGACAUCAGAGGGCAGGUCCUCCGGACCCGCCUCUUCCUGGCAUGUUGCCAUGGCGACGCCAGGUUGCUACAAGCCAGUCCGUUCGCCUUUUCUUCCCCACCCGUGUCUCCCCAUUUUUUGCCCCACCUGCCCCUGCGGCUCCCAGAGGCUGUUCCAGGUGCCCGCCACUGGGAGACCCUGGCCUGCACUGGACGCUGCGCUGGCUGGACAGGGGACGGCAGCUAGGUGUCAUUCUUUCAGUGAGAGUGUUCACGCGGAUGAAGAGCUUCAUCGUUCAUUUGCGCCACCCUGCAACCCACAGAAGAGGAGUCCCGCCUGGUGGUUGUUGUUGUUUUUAAGAGUUAUUGCAAUUGCUUUUUAAUGUUUUCUGUUUUUAUUUCUGUUUUACGAGCUGUAGCCCACUGCGACUAGUCCUGUGACACUAACGGGAGUGGGAUGCAAACUGAAUAAAUAAAUAAAUAAAAUUAAUCUGUUUCUUAAU